Non-coding RNA from Pelobates cultripes (western spadefoot toad), 21870 nucleotides. NCBI's taxonomy places the organism in Eukaryota, Metazoa, Chordata, Amphibia, Anura, Pelobatidae. The record is from the annotation of a GenBank genome assembly.
ACAAAAACCAAAGUGCCGCCCCCAGCAAUCAAACUUCAAUCAGAAUCAGCUCUAUGGAGGUUCUCCGCAUCACCCGGCGAUCACCACAUCUCCAGUGACUUCCUCGAUUGUCAGACGCGUGCCACGUCUGUUGCGCGUGACAUAAUCAUGCUCUGUUGCUAGGAGAUGAGUAAAUAAACGAUCGUUCAAAUGCAUACAGUGGAAUUAACCAUACAGAUCAUCAAAUCUACAUAAAACAAAGCUAUUCAAUCUCCUGAAAACAUAAAUUUAAGCUUCACUCUUAAGAACAACGCUGUGUCUACAUAUUUAUAUUUAUAGGCAAAAGGGGGAAGCAAGAGAGACCAAACAGCUGACAAAGGAUACCCAACAUACAUACAGGUGCAAAACGCCCAUUUACCUAAUGAAACCUUGAACAUGGAGUGAAAAUAAAAUAUAAAAAGAACACCCUCUCUAAAAGAAAGCUAUACAGCAUGCCAAAAAAGAUGGAAAAAAACAAAGGUAAGUAAAGAGAGACAGACUGGCAAAUAGUAAUAGAGGACCAUGCAAGAUAAGAUACAUAGCCAAAUCCAAAUCCAAAUCGGGCACAUACUAGAUGCACCUUCUCUAGUAAGUAGGGGCACCGGCACCUUUUCAAGCACUUGGUAACUGUGAGACGUUAUGCCUUUUUUCUUUAAAGUGCCGUGCGACUGGUGCGUCAGUAGUCUAUACUACGGAUCAGACUUUUAGGGCACAUAUAGUUUUACCCACAUAGCCCAGACCACACGGACACUUAAGAAGAUAAAUCACAUGUAAAUCUGGCAUGUGAAAAACCCUUUAAGCCUGAUCUGUUGGCCUGUCCUGGGGUAGGUGCAAAAUUCACCCUUAAUAAUCCCACUGCAAUGACUGCAGCUCAAUUAAGGGUAUGUCCCAUGCACUGGUUUUGAAAGAGAAGUUUGUUUAGUGUUAGUCAGACAGUCAGCCCUAACUAUUAUAUCUCUUAUAGAUCAUCCGAGUUUAUUAGCAAAUAUUAGCAAAUCAUGGGGGAUUCUGAAAUAGAUGUCCAGUGUGUUUAUCAGGUUGUAAUAUAAACCAGUUAUUACGUAUAAUGUUCUGUAUUUCAGGUGCAAGUGAUUAGAAAGUACUUACAAAUGGUAUUCUGUCCUGUUUGGGUUUGUCUGUUGUAGAAAGUAGUUUCUCACGGUUAAUGCCCAAGGCCUUCUGUUUACCUUUUUGUAACAGGCGGGGGCUAUUACCCUUGCCCAAAAACGUUUGUGAGAGAUCUGUCAAGCGUUUAUUGACUACGCUGUUGUCGCUAACACAAAGCUAAAUCUGUCAUAAAAAGGUUUGCAUACGAUGGUAACGUAUUCGCACCCAUCGCAGUUUCUUUGACUUAUUAAUUGAGGAUUGACAUAUACCUGAAAAAAAACUUUUUUAAGACAAUUUCCAAUAAGGUAGUGACAAAGAGCACAUUUUUUCGUCUUUAAGAUGAAGUGGUCGGUGUGCCUAUAGUGUCUAUUUAAACAGUGAAGUAGACUAUGACUAAACUGACAACAGUAGAGCUGCAAUGGUUUUACAGAGCAGUUUUACUUAUCCUAAGAAAUGAGCAGAACUUCUCUUGGAGGGUAAACUAUUUAUCUCACAAACUCCUGAAAGAGGAUGAUAAGCCGGUAACUGCAGGCAGACCCAAUAAAAAGUGCAUAUGGAGUUACAUUUAAAGUGCUUUUUGUUUUCUUUUGCAUUGUUUAUUAACAGAAUAUAGAGGGUAACGUUCCCCUUAUAGUGUUACUUUAACUGCAAUAAAGGAAAACAACCAUUUAACAUCAUUCCUAUCGUGCAGGAAGGCAGACCCAUUGCCAUUAUCAUUUGCAAUGUAGGAAGAAUUAGUCACUUGCCAUCAUAGGUGUGCGCACGGGGUGUGCCUGGGCACACCCUAAUCCCUGCGGCCCGCACUAUGUGCCUCCCUGCCUGUGGACCGUGAGGGAGAGCUCCGCCGGGUUCCUCUCGCGAGGUUGGAGCGUUGCCGCGGCAAUGCUCAGAUCUCGCGAGAGUGAACUCUAGCCUCACAGGGAUGGCAGCAGCACAGUCCCCACUCCCUACAAAAGGUAAAAAGGGAGGGGGGAUAUUAACUAAACGGUCCCCACACCACACAAUACACAUGAACAGCACCCACACACACAUAGCACACACACUAACAGCACCCUCACACAUACACACACACACACACACAGCAGACACUAACAGCACCCUCACUGUCAUGCGGUAUCUCUUCCGGGUUCGGCACUUCCGCAUUGCGGAGCCGGCCCCGCCCCCUUCUGACGCGGCUCUGACAGUACUUAGGGAGACCGCGCCAGGAAGAAGGUGAUUGUGGGACCUACUUCCGGGUAUACACACCGGCUCCACAAGCCGUCCCAGCCUUUGAGCCAAUGCAAGGAUUGCUGCAAGCCAUAGAGGAUUACUGGAGAAUUACGGAUACUUUGCUAAUUUACAAGUGGACUAUAACUCUGAACUCUUGGAGGACAACUCACCUUAACCUUAAGUAUAUCUUUCAACUAUUGUCUGCAAUAUCAUUUAUUAAUGAACCAAUUCCUGCUUGCUCAAAUCUUCUCUGCUUCAAGUUACUAAUUAUAUGGAGGACAACUCCCAUCAUGCUUAUUUACUAUGAACUGUUUCUUGCUUUGCAAAUACUCUCUGCUACCUGCUUAAUGUUUCUAUUGAAGAUUAUUCCCAGCAACCUAAAGAAUCUUAUUAAAAACUUCUCUGAGGAAAUACUUAUUAAUGAACUUUGUAUUGUUUGAUAACCUGCACUUUCUUCUUAUUGGAUUAUUGCCUAUAUGCAAUUCAUGUAAGUUUAUCAAUCAUUAAAACUUUGUUUGAUUCUCAAAUUGCCAGCAAUCCUCUCUUUUCUUAAAGCUACAGUAUUGAUACUUUAAAGAUUCUUCGUUUCUUUACUAUUGUAAUUAAGGAGUUCUACAAGCUGCAGUUGAGUUCCAAUCCAAAUAACCCAAGUAGCAUAACAGAAUCACCAAGCCUAAAAAUGGAACCAGCAGAUGUGAAUUCCCAAAUUACCUAUUUAAACCACAGGGUUGAAAUACUCACACAAGGCAUGCAGGAUUUGCAAAUUGCUAAUGAGAGACUUCUUUCCUAUAUUAGAGAAAUGCAAAAUAAAGUUACACAUUCUUCAAGUGACCCUGCUGUCUGCAAUCCUGAAAUAUUUUAUGGAGAUCGCUCUAAAUAUAGAGAAUUUUUUAAUUCAUGCAAAUUAUUGUUUACUCUCAAACCCAGGGCUUACUCCUCAGACAGAAUUAAGGUUUGUUCAAUAAUUUCCUACUUAAGGGCUGAACCUAUGUCUUGGGCACUUUCAUUUCUGGAAAAUGAAGAUCCUAUUUUGGAUUCUUUAGAUAAUUUUAUUGAGUCAAUGUCAUUACUUUAUGAGGACCCUAAUAAACAAGCUACUGCUGAUCUUACUAUUAGAUUAUUACAACAAAGAAAUCGUCCUGUGGAGGAUUAUAUAGCUGAGUUCAAAAGAUGGGCUUCAGAAACCCAAUGGAAUGAUAUAGCUCUACGUAAUCAGUUCCGUUUAGGAUUAUCUGAAACAGUUAAAGAUGAAUUAUCUAGAACCACUCUUCCCCCAACGCUUGAUACAUUAAUUCAACUCUCUAUUAGUAUAGAUAGAAGAAUCAGAGAACGUAAAGCUGAAAAGGCUCUCUCUAAUUCAGUUUGGAAAAAACCCAGUCCACCUUUGCUAAUGCCUAAUAAACCCUUGCAACCGAGUGAACCUAUGGAAGUUGGGUUUACUAGGGGACCUUUGUCUAUGGAAGAAAAAAACAAGGAGGAGAGACUUAAAUCUUUGUAUGUACUAUGCCUCUAAAGAACAUCUCUUACAAGAAUGUCCUCUUCUAAAACACUCUAAGGGAGGUAAGCCUAAAAUUAAUACCUCAAUUCUAAAAACACUACCCUCUUCCUCCUCUCAUCAGUUUGCUGUACCUCUAAUUUUACAGUGGGACAAAGAAAGAAUCAAGACUGAGGACAUUAUUGAUUCUGGUGCUACGGGGAUAUUCAUAGAUUCUUCGUUUGUUGAAGCCAAUAAAAUUCCUUGUCUGAAAAAAGCAUCUUUUGUCUCCAUCAGAGUUAUUGAUGGAUCUGUAAUCCCCUCUGGUCCCAUAAAAAAUGAAACUAUUCCUAUUUUGACCACUAUUAACCCCUUAAGGACACAUGACAUGUCUGACAUGUCAUGAUUCCAUUUUAUUACAGAAGCUUGGUACUUAAGGGGUUAAUAAUAACCAUUCAGAAUUUCUUGUUUUCGAUAUUAUAAGAUCCCCCCUUUCACCAAUCAUCUUAGGAAUCAACUGGUUACAAAUUCAUAAUCCCUUCAUUCGUUGGGCUCCAUUUUCUCUUACCUUUGACUCAGAGUAUUGUAAGGACAAUUGUCUCCCUCAAAUUCCUAUAUUUCAAUUAAGUCACGAAACUCUAAUACCAGAACCAUAUUCGGAUUUUUCCGAUGUAUUUGGUAAGAAAAAAGCUGAUGCUCUUUCCAGAAUUCCUGUUAAUCCUUCUUCAAAAGAGAAAACUUUCUCAAUGUUAUCAAACAAUAAAAUAAUUGGACUUACAACUACUAUAUUGGAGGAACUGAAACAAUUAUCUCUCAAAGAACUUGAACUACCUUCUACUCCUAAAUUGUUCAAAAAAGAUGGAAUCUUUUAUUUCAAAAACAGAAUUUAUAUUCCUCCAAAACUCAGACAUAACCUUUUAAAAUUAAUUCAUGAUUCUCCCCUUGCUGGACAUCCCGGGAUAAAAAAGACAAUUGAACUCUCUACUAGACAAUAUUGUGUAAAGUCUUGUCCAGUUUGUCAAAAAUCCAAAGCGGAACAUCACCUUCCUUAUGGAUUAUUGACUGGAUUACCAGUACCUGGGAGACCUUGGCAAUCUAUUUCCAUGGAUUUUAUGGUGGAACUCCCUCCUUCUCAGAAAUACACCACCAUCCUUGUUGUAGUAGACCGUUUCACAAAAAUGUCACAUUUCAUUCCUUUGAAAAAGUUACCCUCAUCCUCUGAACUUUCCAAAAUUUUUAUUGACAAUAUAAUCAAAUUACAUGGAUUCCCUGAAGAAAUAAUCUCAGACAGAGGUUCUCAAUUUACUUCACGUUUUUGGAAGGAAAUGUGUUCUUCACUUCAAAUCCAACGUAAACUUUCUUCAGCAUACCAUCCGCAAACAAAUGGCCAAACAGAACGAGUCAAUCAAUGUCUGGAACAAUACCUUCGUUGUUACUGUACGUAUUUACAAGAUGAUUGGAGUAAUUGGUUACCCAUGGCUGAAUUUGCCUAUAAUAAUUCCAUACAUUCAAGCAGCAAAAUGACUCCAUUCUUUUCACAUUAUGGAUUCCAUCCCUCCUUGUUUCCUGAUGAUCCCAAGACAACUUCGAAUCCAAUGGUUUCUAUUCAAAAUAUGGAAAUGUCCUCAUUGUUUAAUCAAUUAAAGAAAAACCUUGAAAGUUCUAUGAUCUUACAUAAACAGAAUUAUGGCAUUAAAAGGAGACUGCCUCCUAAAUAUAAAAUUGGUGACACUGUUUGGCUAUCUUCAAAAAAUAUUUCUACUAACCAUCCUUCUGAGAAACUUAGUGCUAUUUUCCUUGGACCUUUUCAAAUUGAAUCCAUUAUUAAUGAAAAUGUUGUGAAAUUGAAACUUCCUCCUUCACUUAAACUUCAUCCUGUUUUUCAUGUUUCCCUUCUCAAGUCUUUUCUCCCAGAUCCCUUCCAUAGGGAACAAUUGUCAAAGCCUGACCCCAUUGAAGUUCAAGGUGAAUUGGAAUAUGAAAUAGAGAGAAUUCUUGACUCCAGACUUCAUAGAGGUAGCUUACAAUACCUUAUUAGAUGGAAGGGUUAUGGAGAUGAAGAUAACACCUGGGAGAAUUCCUCUGAAAUUCAUGCAAAGACGUUGAUUACUGCUUUUCACAAAAGGUACACUCAGAAACCGAGGUAACAGCACCCGGAGUGUGCUCCUUAGGUGGGGGGUCCUGUCAUGCGCGAUCUCUUCCGGGUUCGGCACUUCCGCAUUGCGGAGCCGGCCCCGCCCCCUUCUAACGCGGCUAUGACAGUACUUAGGGAGACCGCGCCAGGGAAAAGGUGCUUGGUGAUUGUGAGACCUACUUCCAGGUAUACACGCCGGCUCCACAAGCUCUGACAAGCCGUCCCAGCCUUUGAGCCAAUGCAACGAUUGCUGCAAACCAUAGAGGAUUACUGGAGAACGGAUACUUUGCUAAUUUACAAGUGGACUAUAACUCUGAACUCUUGGAGGACAAUUCACCUUAACCUUAAGUAUAUCUUUCAACUAUUGUCUGCAAUAUCAUUUAUUAAUGAACCAAUUCCUGCUUGCUCAAAUCUUCUCUGCUUCAAGUUACUAAUUAUAUGGAGGACAACUCCCAUCAACUGUUUCUUGCUUUGCAAAUACUCUCUGCUACCUGCUUAAUGUUUCUAUUGAAGAUUAUUCCCAGCAACCUAAAGAAUCUUAUUAAAAAAACUUCUCUGAGGAAAUUCUUAUUAAUGAACUUUGUAUUGUUUGAUAACCUGCACUUUCUUCUUAUUGGAUUAUUGCCUAUAUGCAAUUCAUGUAAGUUUAUCAAUCAUUAAAACUUUGUUUGAUUCUCAAAUUGCCAGCAAUCCUCUCUUUUCUUAAAGCUACAGUAUUGAUACUUUAAAGAUUCUUCGUUUCUUUACUAUUGUAAUUAAGGAGUUCUACAAGCUGCAGUUGAGUUCCAGUCCAAAUAACGCAGGUAGCAUAACACUCACACACACAGCACCCUUACACAUACACACACAGCACACACUAACAGCACCCUCACACACAGCACCCUUACAUAUACACACACACAGAAUACACUAACAGCUCCCUUAUACACACAGCACCCUCACACAUACACACACAGCACACACUAACAGCACCCUCACACAUAUACACACACAGCACACACUAACAACACCCUCAGACACACACACACACACAGUACCCUUACACAGCACACACUAACAGCACCCUCACACACAGCACCUUUGGACAUACACACACACAGCAAACACUAACAGCACCCUUACACACACAGCACCCUUACACACACAGCACCCUUACACACACACACACACACACUAACAGCACCCUUAUAGACACACAGCACCCUCACACACAGCACCUUUACACAUACACACACUAACAGUGCCCUCACACACACACAGCACCCUCACACACACUCACACAGUGCCCUCACAUACACACAGCACCCUAACACACACACACAAUACCCUUACACUCACACAGCGCCCCCACACACAGCAGUGUGUGUGUGUAUAUAUAUAUAUAUAUAUAUAUAUACACAUAUAUAUACGCGGCAUAUGUGUUUGUGCUUUAGGGUGCACACCCUUAUGCAAUAGGCUGCGCACGCCUAUGCUUGCCAUCAUUCACUCCCAGGCAGCAGCAUUGUUGGCUGGAUCUGAAAAAGUCAUGACUCUACCGUUUCUACUUUUGUUGAAUAUUUCUCUUCACCUAUCUCCAAGCUUAUAAUAAGGAAAUGUGGAAUGAAUGAUCUCCCAACAAAUGGAACUUAACCCUGACCCUAGUCUCUGGCCUUGUUGACACAUGUACGGUACAUGAGCAAGAUAGGAAUGCAAGGACGGCAGGGAGUGGAGUAAAUACAGAGACAGAUAUAUUUAAGAGCAGGGUGUUUUAACUUGGGAAAUAAGUAAAUGCUGCUAUGCUCUCUUACUCAUUCACUCUUCACGCUGCCACAAAGGGUGGAACACGGAUGGGUAGUUGGCACUCCAGUUGCCAGGCCUUUUCCAUCAAGAUAGAAAGUCAGAACAGAUGUAUAGAAAUUGUGAUUUCUGCUUUGGAGUGUGGAUGAGAGCAUGUUGCAUUGGACAUUUUUUACACUGCUACUUUUUGAAUAUUGUGUUGACAACUCAAAGCUUUAUCACCACUACCAGGAUUAGUCUGUUAUCAGAUAACAAGUCUAUUAUGGGAAUAUGAGGACUGAUUUUGGCUGGGACCCAGACCGAUUCACAUGAUGUGGUCUAUCCCUUUAUCAUACUAGGGAUCACUGCAUUGACUCAUGUCCAUAAAAGCUGUUCGAUCAGCAGGCAUUUCUUUGAUUAAUUCUCUUCCCAAGGGGUAAGCCACUUACCUACCGACUGUAGGACAAACACCUACUGCAAGGGGAGAACAAAAGCAUUGUAUUCAAUGUAGCAGUUAAACGUUUGCAGUAGUACUAAUCUGUAAUAUACACAAAAGAGUUCAAAAGCAAAUAUAAAACAUUCAAAAACAUUACACACAGAAAAAAAAUAAAAAAUUUCUGACCAAGUUUCCAUAAGUACAAGAAGUUUAAUUCCAAUUACCACAAAUUGUAGACUUCAAAUACUAGGGGAUUAAAAGAGGCUUUUUAAAAGGGCCAUUCUAAGCGUCUUAACCAGUACAGUGUGCAUUAGUGGCACCACCCUAUACAAUCAUAUAAUUUACAAAAGGUAAAUACACUUACCUUGCUCUGUUCUGUCUGCAGGCUGCUUCCGAUCUAUGCCAUUACGCAAAAGCAGAACUAACAAACAUUCACAUUAUCAAAUCAGCUUGUGCUAAGUUUAAACAUUAUUCAUUGAUUGACAGCUGUCAGGUGUCAGUUAAUUGUUGGAAGGUGCAGGGCCUCCACACUGUACACUGUAAUGGUUAAAUGAUGCUUAAAGGGACACUAUAAGCAGCUAAACAACUUUCGCUUAAUGGAGUUGUUUUGGUGUCUAUAUCAUGCACCUACAGCAUAAAAUCUUAAUUAUCUGCCAUUUGGGAGUUAAAUUACUUUGUAUGGGUCACGUGCAGGGGAGGUGUGGCUGCAUAAAGUCACACUACACAUUUCCUGUAAAGAGAUGUAAUGUUUAAACUUCCUUUAUUGCACAGUCUGUUUAACUUAGAUUUAUUUUUAGCCACCUGUGUGUGAUUAAAGUUCAGUUAAUAGAACAGGAGAUAGAAACUUAAAGGAAUACAAUGCAAAGUUGUAUUCCUGGCACUAUAGCUCCCUCUGCCUCCUCACUCUUUCACACCCCCACCGACGUGAAUAAAGGAUUAAAAACCCAUUAUUUACUUACCUUACCCAAGCACUGAUGUCUCUCAGCGCUAAGUCGAGGCUGCGCCUCCACAAGCAUCCCGCACACGCACAUGCAGAACGUGUGGACGUCCAGCAGUUACCAGACCAAAGGUACUUUAGCCACUGGAGGGACUUCCUGGAUCCUGUCUGGAGACUUAGUGCUGCAGUGUAAACAUUUUCUCUGGAACUGCAAUGUUUAACAUUGCAGCACUAAGUGCAAUAGGGACACUGGACUCAAACCACUUCAAUGAGCUGAAGUGGUCUGGGCAGGGGCGGACUGACCGGUCGGGCACUUCGGACAAGGUCCGAGGGCCCGGCCGGGAGGGGGGCCCGCCGCCAGGGCCGCCUUCAGGGGGCCCGGCGGCAGGGCUGGAUUGGGGGCGGCAUUUGGGGACUGCAGGUGCCACCGGGUGGCCGGUCCGGUGGCACACUGUGAGGGGGGGGCUGGCCGUUUGAUGCUGCAGCCGCCGGACCGGGUGGCAGCCUCGCCGGUCCGGCGGCAUUCCGCUCACUAACACAGAAGGAGGAGGAGCAUGUGUCUGUCAUGCUCCUUUGCGGUUCCCACAUCCUGUGCUGGGAAUUGUGGGAGCCGCAGGGAGCAUGACAGACACAUGCUCCUCCUCCUUCAGUGUUAGUCAGAGGAAUGCCGCCGGACCGGCGAGGCUGCCACCCGGUCAGCACUGUAGCCUCAGCAACAGACAGUAAGAGGAUAGAAGAUAGAAGAGAACAGAGAUAGGGGAGAGGAAAAGAUAUAGAGGGAGAGGAGGAAAAAGAAUAUAGGAGGGAGAAAAGUGGGAACAGAAUAUAGGGAGAAAAGAUAUAGGAGGGGAGAAAAGAGAAAAAAAAGAAUAUAUAUAGGAGAGGAGGAACAAGGAAUAUAGAGAGGGAGGAACAGAAUGGGGAGAGGGAGAAAGAGGGAACAAGAAUAGGGAGGGAGAAAAGAGGGGGGAACAGAGAUAUAGGGAGAGGGAGAAAAGAGGGAACAGAGAUAUGGAAAGAGGGGGGAACAGAGAUAUGGGGAGGGGGGAGACAGACAGAGAGGGAAGAAUGAGACACUGGGAGAAACGGGGAAUAGAGAGAUAGGGAGGGGGAGAAAGAGACACAGGGGGAGAAAGAGAUGGGGAGGGGGAGAAAGAGACAGAGAGGAAGAGAGAUGUGGGGGAGAGAGAGACAGGGAAAGGGGGGAGAAAAACAGUGGAAGAGAGGGAGAAAGAGGCAGAGGGGUAAGAGAGACUGGGAAGGAGGGGGGAGAAAGAAACAUACAGAGGGACGGGGGGAGACAAAAAGGCACACAGAAGGGCUGUAUAUAUCACUGGUGGAUCCAGGGGGGCAACAGGGCAAUUGCUCCCCCUCCCCUGUCCGCAGGCACCGUGCGGGCAGGGGAGGAAGGAAGAGAGGACCUGGGAGCUCACCCUGCAGCUCCUCUGGGUCCUUCUUGCACGAGCACAGAGCGUUGCCGCGAUUACCAUGGCAACGUUACCGCUCUUGCGAGAGUCAACUCUAGCCCUGGAGCUACGGUCUAGUGUUCACUCUCAACACUGUGACCCCCAGGGAUUCCUGGUGGUCGCAGUGGUGAGAGUGAACUCUAGCCCCAUAAACAGACUGCCCCCACACACACACCAUACACAUUCACACACUGCCCCCAAACACACCAUACACAUUUACACACAUUGCCUCACACACACACAUACACUGCCCACCCAUAUACACAUAGACCCCCAUACACAGCCCCCCAUACUAGCAUUGCCACACACGUACACAGCCCACACACCCUACACAUUCACACACUAUACCCCCCACACACACUGAACCUUUCACACACAUUGCACCACUGCUCCUAUUCCCUACUACAGCCCCAUAUCCCAGCAGAUCCCAGGUAAGUUGUCAAACUGUUCUUAAAUGGUUUGACUACUUACUCUGGAGCAGUAGUGGUUAUUAUGCAUGGAUUAUUUCUUUAAAUAAUCUACAAGUGCCCCAGUAGCCAGCCAGCCAACCCACAGGCUGGCCAGUAGCCAGCCCACAGGCCAGUAGCCAGCCCACAGGCCUACAGCAAACCACAGGCUUACAGCCAGCAAGCCCACAGCCUGCCAGUCGCAGCCAGCAAGCCGCAGCCUGCCAGCCCACAGCCUGCCGGCAGUAGCCAGCAAGCCCACAGCCUGCCAGCUGCAGCAAGCAAGCCCACAGAUUGCCAGCCAGCAACAGUAAUUAAGGUAAGAGGAGCCAACUUGGCCUAGGUAUCAGCGAGCUAUGUUGUGUUGCUAUAUUGUGAAUAGGAACCAGAGUGUUGGAGAGACCACCCUCCAGGCCCCAUUAGACUCCAUUGUAGUCUCUAAUGGGGCCUGGAGGAGAUUCUUUCUAACACACUCUCUUAAGGACACUGAGAUAGCCUCUGCUAGAAAUCCCCUCCAUGGCCCAUUAGCCCUCAAUUGUAGUCUCUACUGGGGCCUGGAGGCGACUGUUUCCAGCAGGGGAUAUCUAAUGGACGCUGAGAUGGCCUCUGUUAGAAAGACCCCCUUCCAAGCCUAUUAGACUCCAUUGUAGUCUCUAAUGGGGCCUUGGAGGGGAUUCUUUCUAACACACUCUCUAAAGGACACUGAGAUAGCCUCCGCUAGAAAGACCCCCCUCCAUGGCCCAUUAGCCCUCAAUUGUAGUCUCUACUGGGGCCUCGAAGGGCUUAUUGCCCUUUUGUUCCUUGUGUCUAAAGAUUGUGUAGGGUGUGGCUGGAGGCGGUGCAUGGAGGCGGGACAAGGGUGGCGCUUGCUGCAGAGUAUGGGUGGGGCCUGUAAGGGGGCCCUUGAUUUAUUUUGCCCGGGGGCCCUGAGGGUUCUCAGUCCGCCCCUGGGUCUGGGUGCCUAUAGUGUCCCUUUAGGUGCUGUCAAAUCUAAUUGAAAAUUAAACUUGUUUUUUUUUUUCAUGCAGUCAGUGUGAGUCACAGAAAAAGGAGGUGUGGCUAGGACGGCAUAAACAGAAACAAAAGUUAUUUAACUCCUAAAUAGUAGAGAUGUAAGGCUGCAGGGGCACGACCUAUGCAAUAAAAAUGCUCACUAAGCUAAAGUUGUUAUGGUGCUUAUAGUAUGCAUUAAGUAUGCCUGAAGUAUUCAUUUAAGACUAGUUUAUUGAGCAAAGAAUGUACAUAUAUAUUGUAUAAUUUAACAGGAAAUAUAUGUCAAAAUAUAACACACGUGCUCCCCCAGAGGUAAAAAUAAAUGAAAAUUAUUUUACCAGAUGUAUGAUUGUAUUUUACCCCUCAGAUCUUCUCAAUACAAGUAUAAAAAAUACAAUCUACAAAAAAGAAUAAACAUAGAGAGAAUAUAGUGUAGUAGAUUCAAACACCAAAUUGUGCACUAGUAAAAUUGCACUCACAAGAUGAGAGAGCAGUAAGGACAUAUAACGAUCUUUGAACUUGACGGACAGCUGUAAUCUUCUAUUUUCACCUAAGAGAGGGAGAGACACACAAACCAUAGUGCACAAAUAUAAUAAGAAAUAGUAAUAUUUAUUUGAUUGCACUCACACAAUAAUAGUUGUAAUCCAGCUUGUCACAAUACUUGGGGGAUAGUGGUGCCGGCGUCCUUCUUCCCUUAGCGAGUAGUGACAAAACAAACUGAAUAAAAACAGUCUAUGAACAUAAGACAAUAUAAAGACAAAAUAAUAUAAAAUAACAAGGUACUGUCGUGGUCCCUCCGCCCUACGCGUUUCGUCUCAAAACGAGACUUCCUCAGGGAAAAAUGAAGGUGUAUAUUACAGUCUGUUGAGUCCAUCUUUUAAAAGGUCGUAAAUUCCCGCCUUCUGUAUGGCCAAUCGGAAUGUAUCACCUGCGAUAGUUUAAUGCGUUCCAAGCCUCGUUUUCGGUUUGACCAUUCUCAGAGCAACUUCCGGUAUCGCGUGGAGCGCAAACAUGCGUUCCACGGCCGUAAAAGGAAAUGAACGAAUCCAUACAUGAAAAAAGUAUUAUAAAACAAAUAGAGAAAUAAAUCCAUAGGCAAAAAACAUCAUAGUACUAACAUUUUACAAGAUAAAUACAAGCAUAAGUGGUUAUUAAUAUUAAUGGGAGAUGAGAUCAAAUACACUAAAUUAAGAGGAAAUCUUAUACGAAAACCUCAUAUAAAAAAUCCUUUUUGAGGUAUAUAUUUUAAAGAAUAAAAGAUAAAAGAUAAAAAGGAAGGGCACAUUGGAAUGAUAAUGGUGAGUAUAAGAAUAUAAAUAUAUAAAUGUAAAAAACUAUUAAAUAAAAUAUUAUUAAAUAAAAAAUUAAUUAAAAAAUAUAUUAAAAAAUAUAUAUGUAAUGGUUCAUUUAUAAAAAACACACGAUAUCAAAAUCGACAUUUAGCCCAAUAGGGCUAAAAGUCUUGAGAUUAAAAAUCCCAAAACCUUCUCUUUGGCGUAAUUUCCUAAUUAAAUCACCUCCUCUAUCAUCCAAUGUAACCUUUUCUAAACCCGUGCACGAAAAAGUAUCAAACUUGAAAUCAGGACAAUUAUUACAAUGUACUGGUACAGAGUGAGUAAUUAAGUGUUUCUUUAUAUUAUUACAAUGUUCCAUAAAUCUAAUUUUUAGAGCUCUACUGGUUCUCCCUACAUACUGGAUGCCACAUCCACAAGUUAAAAGAUACACUACAUUAGUGGUGUUGCAGUUAAUAUAAUCAUUUAUUUUAAAAAAGUUCUCCUGUUUUAUAACUUUUAAAAUGUUGUGUUUUUUAGGUAAAAAUUUACAACCCUUGCAUCUACCAGAUUUGUAGAAUCCCUUUAGGGAUGUGGCUUCUGUUUUCUUUGAUUUAAACGUGCUAGGAGCUUUAGGAGCAUAUAUAUGCUAUAAUUUGUAGGUUAUUUUACUAGUAUUCCAGUUAAGAAUAUUAAGAUGUGCCUGUUGAUGUUCUUCCCAUUUAAAUGAUUACUCUAACUCAGGGGCUCCCAAUUAAUUUUUCCCGUGGAACCCUUUUACAUAAUGCGCUAACAGCGUGGAACGUCAAAAAUGUUUGGGCAUACACAAACAAAUUAACACACAUAUAAAAACAUUGACACAUUAUUAUUAUUUUAUUAUUUAUAUAGCGCCAGCAAAUUCUGUAGCGCACACGUACACACACUAAAAUAUAUACACAGACACAAAGAUAUACACCUUGACACACAUUAGGGCACACACACACCAAUACACACAUACUGACAUACACUCAGAUACACAUAGUGACACAUACACAAACCUUGGCACACAGAUACACACACUCAGAAGCGCAUAUUGGCACAUACAAACACACCAACACACACACUGGCACAUAUAAACACACUGAUACAGACAUACUGACAUAUACACACACUGACACAUACACACACACCUUGACACAUAUACACACACUCAGAUACACACAUUGACACAUGCACAAAACAUUACACAGAUACGCACAUACACACAAUGACCCAUACAAACAUAUACAGGGAGUGCAGAAUUAUUAGGCAAGUUGUAUUUUUGAGGAUUAAUUUUAUCAUUGAACAACAACCAUGUUCUCAAUGAACCCAAAAAACUCAUUAAUAUCAAAGCUGAAUAUUUUUGGAAGUAGUUUUUAGUUUGUUUUUAGUUAUAGCUAUGUUAGGGGGAUAUCUGUGUGUGCAGGUGACUAUUACUGUGCAUAAUUAUUAGGCAACUUAACAAAAAACAAAUAUAUACCCAUUUCAAUUAUUUAUUAUUACCAGUGAAACCAAUAUAACAUCUCAACAUUCACAAAUAUACAUUUCUGACAUUCAAAAACAAAACAAAAACAAAUCAGUGACCAAUAUAGCCACCUUUCUUUGCAAGGACACUCAAAAGCCUGCCAUCCAUGGAUUCUGUCAGUGUUUUGAUCUGUUCACCAUCAACAUUGCGUGCAGCAGCAACCACAGCCUCCCAGACACUGUUCAGAGAGGUGUACUGUUUUCCUUCCUUGUAAAUCUCACAUUUGAUGAUGGACCACAGGUUCUCAAUGGGGUUCAGAUCAGGUGAACAAGGAGGCCAUGUCAUUAGAUUUUUCUUCUUUUAUACCCUUUCUUGCCAGCCACGCUGUGGAGUACUUGGACGCGUGUGAUGGAGCAUUGUCCUGCAUGAAAAUCAUGUUUUUCUUGAAGGAUGCAGACUUCUUCCUGUACCACUGCUUGAAGAAGGUGUCUUCCAGGAACUGGCAGUAGGACUGGGAGUUGAGCUUGACUCCAUCCUCAACCCGAAAAGGCCCCACAAGCUCAUCUUUGAUGAUACCAGCCCAAACCAGUACUCCACCUCCACCUUGCUGGCGUCUGAGUCGGACUGGAGCUCUCUGCCCUUUACCAAUCCAGCCACGGGCCCAUCCAUCUGGCCCAUCAAGACUCACUCUCAUUUCAUCAGUCCAUAAAACCUUAGAAAAAUCAGUCUUGAGAUAAUUCUUGGCCCAGUCUUGACGUUUCAGCUUGUGUGUCUUGUUCAGUGGUGGUCGUCUUUCAGCCUUUCUUACCUUGGCCAUGUCUCUGAGUAUUGCACACCUUGUGCUUUUGGGCACUCCAGUGAUGUUGCAGCUCUGAAAUAUGGCCAACCUGGUGGCAAGUGGCAUCGUGGCAGCUGCACGCUUGACUUUUCUCAGUUCAUGGGCAGUUAUUUUGCGCCUUGGUUUUUCCACACGCUUCUUGCGACCCUGUUGACUAUUUUGAAUGAAACGCUUGAUUGUUCGAUGAUCACGCUUCAGAAGCUUUGCAAUUUUAAGAGUGCUGCAUCCCUCUGCAAGAUAUCUCACUAUUUUUGACUUUUCUGAGCCUGUCAAGUCCUUCUUUUGACCCAUUUUGCCAAAGGAAAGGAAGUUGCCUAAUAAUUAUGCACACAUGAUAUAGGGUGUUGAUGUCAUUAGACCACACCCCUUCUCAUUACAGAGAUGCACAUCACCUAAUAUGCUUAAUUGGUAGUAGGCUUUCGAGCCUAUACAGCUUGGAGUAAGACAACAUGCAUAAAGAGGAUGAUGUGGUCAAAAUACUCAUUUGCCUAAUAAUUCUGCACUCCCUGUACACACGCCUUGACAUACAGAUACACACUCAGAUGCACACAUUGACACAUGCACAAAACAUUACACAGAUACGCACAUACACACAAUGACCCAUACAAACACAUACACACACCUUGACACACAAAUACACACAUACUCAGAUACACACAGUGAAACAUACACACAGUUGCACCCACAGAUACACACACUGGCACAUACACACAUUAUUAUUAUUGGUAUUUAUAUAGCGCCAGCUUAUUCCGCAGCGCUUUACAAUAAAAGGGGAAUUUACCAAAUGAUGUAACAGGAACAAUAGGUAGUUAAGGACCCUGCUCAAACAAGCUUACUGUCUAGAGCUGUGUUUCCCAAUUGGGUUUCCGCCAAAAUGUCUAAAAACAAAAUUGCCGCGGGCGGCGAGGGAGCAGUGAUCUCUCUGCUCAGCUCCAUCGCGUGUACAGCAGUGAUGCUGGAGCCGGAAUAUGAUGUCAGUCUGGCUCCAGCAUCACUAAGAGGCACGUGAGGGAGCUGAGCAGGGAGAUCACUGCUCCCUCGCCACCCACACACCAGCCCCACUGGACCCCAGGGACCGCUCGCCAGCCACUCAGCAGCCCCACUGGACCCCAGGUACCGCAUGUUCAGCCCACCAGCCCCACUGGACCACAGGGUGGAGUAAAAUAAAAAAAAUAAAAAAAAUUGUAUGUGUAUCUGUUAGGGAGCUUGUAUGUGUUUGUGUAUCUGUCAAAGAGUAUAUGUGUGUUUGCCAGAGACAAUGUAUGUAUGCUUGUCAGUGAGAAUGUAUUUGUGCUUGGCAGUGAGUGUAUGUGUUUGUAUGUGUCUGUAAAAGAGUGUGUGUAUCUGUCAAAGAGUAUGUGUGUCGGUGUGUGUGUAUAUCUGUGUGUCCAUGUUUGUGUAUGUGUCACCGUGUGUAUCCGAGUAUGUGUGUAGGUCAGUAUGUUUGUGUGUAUGUGCCAGUGUAUAUAAGUGUGUUUGUAUGUGCCUAUAUGUGUGUGUGUGUAUGUCAGUGUGUGUGUGUAUCUGAGUUAGUCAGUGUGUGCAUAUGACACUGUGUGUAUGUGUCAAUGUGUGUAUCUGUGGGUGCAAGUGUGUGUAAGUGUCACUGUGUGUAUCUGAGUGUGUGUGUAUUUGUGAGUCAAGAUCUGUGUGUCUGUGUGUUUGAGUGUGUGUAUCUGUGUGUCAAGGUUAAUGUGUCUGUGUGCCACUGUGUGUAUCUGUGUGUCAGAUACAUAUACACAGAAUGACAUAGAUACACACACUUUGAUACAUAGAUACACACACCUUGACACACAAAUACAUACACGCACACACACACAGAUAGACACUGUGUGUGUGUAUUUGUGUGCCACUAUGUGCGUUUGUGCGUAUCUGUGUGUCAGAUUCAUACACACUGGCACAUACAAACACAGAUACACACAUUGACAUACAGAUACACCGGCCUUAGGGGUGUGCGACCUGUGCGGCCACACAUGGCACCAUAGACCAGGGGGCACCCUGCGGCCGACACAGCUCACACAUGGCCGGCCAGAAAUUUAAAAUAAAUAAAUAAUAAUAAUAAAAAAAUAAUAAUUUGCGGCUAAUAGCGCCAGAUAACUGCUGCAGGGGAAGCAGGAAGGAGUCCCUGCUUCCCCACCAAACAGUCUCCAGGAGCUGUACUGCCUCCACAAUGAACUCCACAGGUAACUGUGUGAUUGUCAAUGUGAGUGUGACUGUCUGCCUGUGUGUGUGACUGUCUGCCUGAGUGUGUGUGUGUGUGUGUAUGACUGUCUGCCUGUGUAUGUGUGUGUCUGUGUGUAUGACUGUGUGUGUGUGUAUAUCUGCCUGUGUGUGUGUGUAUGACUGCCUGUGUGUAUGUCUGCCUGUGUGUGUGUAUGACUGCCUGUGUGUGUGUCUCUGACUGUGUGUGUGUAUGACUGUCUGCGUGUGUGUGUGUGUAUGACUGCCUGUGUGUGUCUGUGUGUAUGACUAUCUGCCUGUGUGUGUGUGUGUGUGUAUGACUGUCUGUGUGUAUGACUGUCUGCUUGUGUGUGUGACUCAUCCUGUGUGUAUGACUGCCUGUGUGUGUGACUGUCUGCCUGUGUCUGUGUGUGCAUGACUGCCCGUGUGUGUGUGUCUGUGUGUAUGACUGUCUGCCUGUGUGUGUGUAUGACUGUCUGCCUGUGUGUCUGUGUGUGUGUAUGACUGUCUGCUUGUGUGUGUCUGUCUGCCUGUGUGUGUAUAACUGUCUGCCUGUGUGUGUGUGGCUGUCUGUGUGUGUGUGGCUGUCUGCAUGUAAGUAUGUGUGUGUGUAAGACUGUAUGUGUGGCUGUGUGUGUGUGUGUGUGUCGGCCUGUAAUUCUGUGUGAGUGUGUUUAUCUACCUGUAACUGUGUAUGUGUGUUACUGCCUGUAACGGCACCCCCAGGCAUAAAACGGUUAAACCGCCAUUUAGAAGAUCUUCCCCUUCCAGAGACACAGGCAGCUACUGUAGACACCAUUCCACCGAACCGGAGAAGCAUAUGAAUGCUCUCAAACAUACAAAUGCUGUAAACAGCCGAAUAGGAAAAACCAUACGAAUAGGUUUACACUCCUAGCAGUCGAACUGGAACAGCAUACAAUAAAUCCCCCCAAGAACGAGACAGGGCUCCGUUUUGGGGGUCAAGCAGGAACAGACAGAGCUGUGGGUUUAUUAUUCUUAUAUACACAUUCUUACACAUUAGUACCACCCACAGGGUUUUGUAAAACAACCAAUAAACACGUACAAUACACUCAGACACUCCCACACAAAAGCCUCCCCUCUACCUGUGAUACAAAUUACCUUACACAAUGGGUAAUGAAAUUAUCACAGUCAAAGAAAUACAGUUUUUCCACAUUAUUCAUAACUUUAAAAGUAUGCAUCACAUUGACAUACAUUUUCAGAAUCAGCAUACUUCAAAUACAAACAUAUGUCAAAAAUUGGUCCAGUGGGUCAAAAGUUAGAUCAAAGUCCUUUGUGACCAAAUGAAGCAUGGCUUUUCUGCCCAAAACCAGUUCCACAGAGAUAAUCCAAUUAUCUCCAAGGACAGAGGCAAAACUCUGUUAGCCACAUGGUAGCAAAAGACAAUAAAAUACAUAAAAAUAUAUAACUGUGCAGCUUUUGCAUAAAACAGGUACAUUCAACAUAUCCCCAGAUAGCUUAGAUCUGAGUGCACAUUAUUACUGAAUGGCGCUCAGAUCACAUACAUACAUUUCAAUUGCCAUGGAGUCAAAGUAUUUCGUUAUACGAAUGGGUUCCAAUGCAUAGCUAUCUGGGGUAUCACUGUUCAAAUAGGGCAAGUACCGAAUGACCCGGCUUUCGUGUCUUUGCAGGGGAAAAUCAAGCGUUUCAACAUGGGGCCAUAGUCUAAAGGCAGCAGGUGGGCAACCAGGCUCCUCCAAUGCACAGUGGCGAGAUUGGUCUCGUCACACUGCCUGUACCUGUGUGUUUCUGCCUGGUCCUGUGUAUGUGACUAUCUGCCUGCGACUGUGUGCAUGUGGUGGAUUUGACAGUGUAUAUGUAUAACUGUGGGCAUCUGACUGUGUGCACAUAACUCUGCAAAAAUAUACACCUGCAUUCACACACAGGCCUAAAUGCAUGUUUUUAUCUGAAUUAAAUAACCAUCACACACAGCCAAUAAACCCAGCACAAAUAUCACAUACAACCAAUACACGCAUAUCACACACUGUUAAUACACCCAUUACAAAUAUCACACACAGCCAACACAUGGCAUACAUAUCACACACACUCAUCACACCUACUAUCACAUACACAGACAACACAAAUAUUACAUCAAACAUGGAUGAAGGGGGGAGGGGAGGGCUGUGGAGAUUUUUCACACAGGGCGCCUAAAGGCCUAAGGCCGGCCCUGUGUGUGUCUGUGACAGUGUGUGUAUGUGUGUGUUAGAUACAUACACACAGAUACACAUUGACACACAGAUACACUCUGAUACAUACAAACACAGUUACACACACCUUAACACACAGACACAGACCGGCACAUACAAAAAAAAAACGGAGCAAUUUCGUUUUCUUUCAUUGUGGGUUUCCACAAUGUUGAUACACUAUGUCAAAGGGUUCCACUGGAAAAAUUAAUUGGGAACCCCUGGUCUAGAGAUUCAAAACUCUCUGGUCACAGGCUAAUUUACACAAAUCAGACCAUUAUAAACCUCCCCCCUCUUCCUCUCUGCAGCUUAUUCCUCCCACCUCUCCAUUUUCCCUUUUUUCCAUUUAUGUACAUAUUUGUAAAUACCCCUUGACACACAGAUACACACACACACUCAGUCAUAUACACACUGACACACAUAGGCACAUGAAAACACACUGAUAUACACUGGCACAUACACAGAUAAACUAUAGAAACAAGCAGGAUGGUCAAAAAAUAAUAAAAUGGAAAUAUUAUUAUAUAUACGGGCAGCUUCACACAGUGUAUGAGCGACUAAUAUGAAUAGACAAUAAAAGCAUAAAUAUGGUGUGAGCGCUCCUAACAAUAAGAUGAUGUAUAUUAAAUCAUAAAAAACAUUUAAUAAUGAAAUAUCAACAAUAAUUAAUAGAUAAAAUAAAUUCCCAAUAGCAACAAAAAUAGAGUAUUAUUUCAUCACUUAUUGCCUAAAAAAGCAGUUCCAAGAAGAUAACGAUAAAUAUAACCAAAUGUGACAAUUAGCAAUGUUCAGGGUAACAGAACCCUGAACGCAACAGAACUUACAAAGCAACAGAGUAAUAUAUUGUACCACAUAAAUGGAAACAGACACGCUCAAAAAUAUAUAGGCACACUCCAAGGUCUAAUGCCAUGAAAAAACAACUAAAGCUGGAAUGUGACAGAUAUAAAGAAUUAGAGUAGAGCUUGCAAACACCACCUGUUUGAUGUCCCUGCUGCUUGGUACAGGUACCAGGGGUUGAGCUCGCUGGGCAUCUUUCCACUAAUUACUCCUUUUAUAUUAUACAACAUCUUUCUUCUCGUCCUAUUUACGUGUCACAGCAUGAGCUGCUGCAGGGAGGGGGGCCACCGGCUGGAGUUAUAAUCGACUUUUAUUUGUUAGCCCUAUCCGUUACCUUUUACCAUUGUCCUGCAUAUAUUUUGUGAUUGUUUCUUUGCAUAUUGCUAUUUUUAUCUCUUUGUCUCUACCUGCUCUCCUAUUGUUCACAUCCAUUUUCUUUCCGUCAUUCUUUAAGGGUGUCUCUUCACCCACCUCUUAUGCUGAUUUUAUAUAUUGAGAUCGAGGUUUAGUGUUUGCACGCUCUACUCUAAUUCUUUAUAUCUGUCACAUUCCAGCUUUAGUUGUUUUUUCAUGGCAUUAGACCUUGGAGUGUGCCUAUAUAUAUAUAUUUUUGAGCGUGUCUGUUUCCAUUUAUGUGGUACAAUAUAUUACUUUGUUGCUUUGUAAGUUCUAUUGCGUUCAGGGCUUUAUUACCCUGAACAUUGCUAAUUGUCACAUUUGGAUAUAUUUAUCGUUAUCUUCUUGGAACUGCUUUUUCAGGAGAUAACUGAUGAUCUAUUACUCAAUUUUGUUACUAUUGGGAAUUUAUUUUAUCUAUUAUUGUUGAUAUUUCAUUAUUAAAUGUUUUUUAUGAUUUGAUAUACAUCAUCUUAUUAUUAGGAGCGCUCACACCAUAUUUAUGCACAUACACAGAUACACACAGGCACACACAAUCUGACAUACAUCAGAGCCACUCUCCUGUUAGCUAACUUGUGGUCCUGGUGCUGUUGGUUGAGGCUGAUGGGAGUGAGCUGUUGCAUGAUCACUCCAGCCUCUCCUCUGACAUGCAUGGUGCUCCCUCUCCAGUCCCCUCCUCCCACAGAGUUAC